GGGCCCGCACAAGCGGCGGAGCAUGUUGCUUAAUUCGAGGCAACGCGAAGAACCUUACCAGGGUUUGACAUCCUGCGAAUCUCUUGGAAACAGGAGAGUGCCUUCGGGAACGCAGUGACAGGUGGUGCAUGGCUGUCGUCAGCUCGUGUCGUGAGAUGUUGGGUUAAGUCCCGCAACGAGCGCAACCCACGUCUUUAGUUGCCAGCAUUAGUUGGGCACUCUAGAGAGACUGCCGGUGAUAAACCGGAGAAGGUGUGGAUGACGUCAAGUCAUCAUGCCCCUUACAUCUGGGCUACACACGUACUACAAUGCUACGGACAAAGAGCAGCAAGUUCGCGAGGACAAGCAAAUCUCAUAAACCGUGGCUC
RNAcentral lists this ribosomal RNA (368 nucleotides) under uncultured bacterium. RNAcentral describes it as "bacterial SSU rRNA". It matches the Rfam family "Bacterial small subunit ribosomal RNA", at positions 917 to 1289 of the family's 1533-position model. The record is from RNAcentral.